RNAcentral lists this ribosomal RNA (158 nucleotides) under uncultured bacterium. RNAcentral describes it as "partial 16S ribosomal RNA". It matches the Rfam family "Bacterial small subunit ribosomal RNA", at positions 332 to 507 of the family's 1533-position model. The record is from RNAcentral.
AGUGAUCCUACGGGAGGCAGCAGUGGGGAAUAUUGCACAAUGGGCGAAAGCCUGAUNCAGCAANGCCGCGUGAGCGAUGAAGGCCUUCGGGUCGUAAAGCUCUGUCUUAUGGGAAGAUAAUGACGGUANCANAGGAGGAAGCCCCGGCUAACUACGUG